UCUAGCCCAUACUCUUUGCCAGCUUCCAAGUAACAAAUAAUCCCUACAGACAUGCAGUAAAAAAACAAUGUUGCUAGUAUUUCUACCAUGCGUCUCAAAUUCGCGAAUAUAAAGAGAUGAAGUAUUAUCCAAAACGCAAAAUACGCGCAUUGAUUUAUGGAUUUCUAUUUUGAAUUAUAAUUUUACCAUUCUGUUAGACACAUCAAAAAGUCCCAUUUCCUUUAAAUUUAGUGUAGAACUGAUCAUAAAAUGAUUCCCGAUAGUCUCUACAUACAAAUACAUGAAGGACUUUAAAAAUAUCGUAAAAAAAAUAAAAUUUGACAAAUUAUUACGCAUGAUUUAUUACCAUUACUGAUAAAUCGCUUGUAUUUUAUAGUUUUUCUUUUUAAUUGAUUAACGCAUGUAAUACAUUAACACUACUGAAAAAUCCGAAUUUCUGUCAUAACCGCGGUCGCGCUGAGUGAUCUUUGUCCCCAGAAACCAUGCAUUUCUUAUAGGACGACAAAUAAGUGCGACCGCGAAGGGUUCACAUUAUGUGAUUUAUCACAGAAUAAUUUUCGAUUUGGACGGAUUCGGCCAUGCAAUCGCGCAUCGGCAUUAUUUUUGCAGCUAAAGCAACAAGCUAUACAAGGAUAAGUAAUGAAAGGUACUCAUUUCUUCAAGUACAAAACACACAACACGAUGGAGGACCUUUCAAUUAAAAUCAGGUCAUUCGCUGUUGCGGUUGCAAACGGUGCGAAGCUGGGCCCGAACGGCUUCACUGCCGGCCAACCGGCAUCGUGGACAGGUGGUGACAGAAAUGCGAUAUAAUAAUGACAACCGAUCUUUUAAGAAAGGAUCAGUGGUGACUUCGCUGGGGAAACAUGGCCAUAUAAAAGUAUAGCUGCGCGCUUGCUUAAUCACUUUCCCUGUCUGGCAGCCGAUCCCUAUUCUUUUGAUCAUCCGACAGAGAGAUGACUCUGUACGACUAGCUCUGUCUUUCAGUAGUUGACUAAUACAACUUCAACUAUAGCGUACGAACUUCAAUUCCAUUGGUAAACAUUUGAUUGAACCAUUGUUUGUACGUAUUAAACACAGAAAUUGAUUAGUCUAGAAGCAUUUCUCACGUAGUGGGAUUUGGUUAAAGUAUUUAGAAUGAGAAUAAGAAAAAUGCAUAAUGCAUGUAAUAGUUGGGAGCAUUAAUUUUUCGCAUAUUUAUUCGUGACAAGGUUAUCGAUUUGACAUAUUAUGCUUAAUAAUUUUAUUUACAAAACAGUCAUCUGAUACAUGCACUAAUAAAUUUGUCUUACCUCGAAAAUCAACUAUUUACAUUUAUUGAGUAAUGGAACAAAUUCUCAGUGCACAAGCACCCGAGAUGGAUUCUCAAACUGAGUUUAUAUAUAUCCGGACAAAAUCAAUAUUCUGAUAUUUUUCCCACAGUUAAAUAAUUCUAUAACGUUGUAUUGAAAUUUCUCAGUAAUCGAGUAAUGAAAGUGGUAAUUUUGUAUAACCAGCUUUUCAUCUUCUGGGCAAAGAGAUGUGUGAAAUGUUCAGGUUGAAUAACAUUACACUGAGUUUAUUUCUGUCUCAUGUCCACCUAUGAAUUUCCACAAUUCUCAUGUAAUUGGAUAACAGCAAUGCUAAUCGAGUUAGAAGUAGCAGCAAAUCUGUUUUCUUUUAAUAUUUUUGAAAACAGGAUUGAGUCAAGAAAAGUCUGACUCUUAAAGUUUGUCUGUUAUUAUUAUUCCACAUAUAUUCUGCCCGUCAUGGUAACAAACUGUUAUAAAUUGACAAUGACUCAAUAAUUGGAUUUGUCAUGUGGAAGUUGAGAUUGCACAAGGUAGUCAUCGUCAUAAACUGUCAAUGAUGUUGCCACUGAUAUUUAGUUACUUGUGCUUUCAUCUAUAAACUAAAUACACCGUCGAUAGUUAACUAACUGUGAAUUAAUACAUCAUACGUCACAAUAAACUACUUUUAAGAUUUCUAUCCGUAGUAAAUGUUACAGAUAAAGUAAAUAUAUGUACAUUCGGGUGUGUUGUUAUAAAUCCAAAUUUUUUUCUCGAACUCUGAUGAAAAACAGGUUUAGAAUAGGACAAUUAACAAAUUCUCCCAUAACUGGGUGCUGACAAUUAAUAUAUAUACGAUACUUAAUGUGUUUCAGAUGCCUCAGUCUGGU
Molecule: long non-coding RNA, 2155 nt
Organism: Neodiprion fabricii
Lineage: Eukaryota; Metazoa; Arthropoda; Insecta; Hymenoptera; Diprionidae
Exons: 2
Source: RefSeq, a predicted model, not a curated record